CACGGACCUUGCAAGCGCUGACCGGAAUCAUUGGGCGUAAAGAGUUCGUAGGUGGCAUGUUAAGUCUGGUGUUAAAGCCCGAAGCUCAACUUCGGUUCGGCACUGGAUACUGGCAAGCUUGAAUGCGGUAGAGGUAAAGGGAAUUCCUGGUGUAGCGGUGAAAUGCGUAGAUAUCAGGAGGAACAUCGGUGGCGUAAGCGCUUUACUGGGCCGUAAUUGACACUGAGGAACGAAAGCCAGGGUAGCAAAUGGGAUUAGAUACCCCAGUAGUCCUGGCCGUAAACGAUGGAUACUAGGUGUUGCGGGUAUCGACCCCUGCAGUGCCGUAGCUAACGCGUUAAGUAUCCCGCCUGGGGAGUACGCACGCAAGUGUGAAACUCAAAGGAAUUGACGGGGACCCGCACAAGCGGUGGAACAUGUGGUUUAAUUCGAAGCAACGCGAAGAACCUUACCAGGGCUUGACAUCUAGAGAAUUCUAGUGAAAGCUAGGAGUGCCCCUCGGGGAACCCUAAGACAGGUGGUGCACGGUUGUCGCCAGCUCGUGUCGUGAGAUGUUGGGUUAAGUCCCGCAACGAGCGCAACCCUCGUCGUUAGUUGCAUAUAGCGGUAUACUGCUAUAGUGCUCUCUAGCGAGACUGCCGGUGAUAAACCGGAGGAAGGUGAGGACGACGUCAAAUCAUCAUGCCCCUUAUGCUCUGGGCUACACACGUGUUACAAUGGUCGGUACAACGAGCUGCCAACUCGCGAGAGUGAGCAAAUCUCUUAAAGCCGAUCUCAGUUCGGAUUGCAGUCUGUAACUCGACUGCAUGAAGUCGGAAUCGCUAGUAAACGCAGAUCAGCACGCUGCGUUGAAUACGUUCCCGGGUCU
RNAcentral lists this ribosomal RNA (868 nucleotides) under uncultured bacterium. Its description in RNAcentral is "SSU rRNA". It matches the Rfam family "Bacterial small subunit ribosomal RNA", at positions 524 to 1381 of the family's 1533-position model. The record is from RNAcentral.